Molecule: transfer RNA, 87 nt
Filed under: Heliomicrobium modesticaldum Ice1
Lineage: Bacteria; Bacillati; Bacillota; Clostridia; Eubacteriales; Heliobacteriaceae
Description: Heliobacterium modesticaldum Ice1 tRNA
Rfam family: tRNA
About the family: Transfer RNA (tRNA) molecules are approximately 80 nucleotides in length. Their secondary structure includes four short double-helical elements and three loops (D, anti-codon, and T loops). Further hydrogen bonds mediate the characteristic L-shaped molecular structure. tRNAs have two regions of fundamental functional importance: the anti-codon, which is responsible for specific mRNA codon recognition, and the 3' end, to which the tRNAs corresponding amino acid is attached (by aminoacyl-tRNA synthetases). tRNAs cope with the degeneracy of the genetic code in two manners: having more than one tRNA (with a specific anti-codon) for a particular amino acid; and 'wobble' base-pairing, i.e. permitting non-standard base-pairing at the 3rd anti-codon position.
Source: Rfam by way of RNAcentral
GGAGGGAUGGCCGAGCGGUUGAAGGCGGCGGUCUUGAAAACCGUUGUAGGGGUGACUCUACCGUGGGUUCGAAUCCCACUCCCUCCG